Molecule: small nuclear RNA, 299 nt
Filed under: Castor canadensis (American beaver)
Lineage: Eukaryota; Metazoa; Chordata; Mammalia; Rodentia; Castoridae
Description: 7SK RNA (ENSCCNG00000007833.1)
Rfam family: 7SK RNA
About the family: 7SK was discovered as an abundant small nuclear RNA in the mid-70s but a possible function has only recently been suggested. Two independent studies have found that 7SK RNA binds the CDK9/cyclin T complex (known as elongation factor P-TEFb).
Source: Rfam by way of RNAcentral
UGAUGUGAAGUAAUCUGGCUAUGACAUCUGUUACCCCAUCAUUUGCCAGGGUUGAUUCAACUUAUCUGGCUAGUUAGGUAGGUGUCCGUUUCCUGUCUCAUUGCUCCAUGUAUAACCCUCCUGAAGCUACACACUUGGUGGAGAAAAUAACCUUCCUCUAUAAAGCAGACUGUUUUUUGGGUCAAGGAUAUGCAAGUAGCUACAUUCCUCUGCUAGAAUCUCCAAACUAGUCUCAAGAACUAGGUGUUACUUUGGAAUGAAUUUGUUAGAAAACAGAUGGCCUAAAACUGUAAUUGGUU